CCAAGAUGCCAAAAUGAACCUAUGAAAAUUAACUUCCUAGAGUUUUACAAGAUGAGAUACAAAUCAGGCCACUGAGUCAUUUGAUUCUUAGCUCAACUUGCAUUGGGGAGCCAAUGGAACAAAAUAAAGAAAGAAACAACUCUACUUUCUUGAAGAUAAGAAGGCCACCACGUCCAUUUUGGACAGAUCUAGCCAUUCAUCUUUUCUAUAUGUCAUAGAGCUAACUGGACCGGUGCACCUUUUGGUUAUCAGGAAUCUGAAAGAUAAUAAUGGAGAGAUAGGACUGAACCUUAGCUUUUUUGAAGAUAUUGAACCAACAGUUUAAAAAAGAGGAAAUAAUUCACAAAGCGUAAACAGUUUUUUCGUGCUCCUGAUGAAACAACAUUAAUAUGCAACUUACUUCCCGACCAUAAACUAUACUCAAAAGGGGUGACAGAGACGAUUGUUGAUGUUCAGGUUUCUUUACUAGUACAUUAUUGUGCUCCCAAGCGUUGCAUAAAAGAGUUAUUAGUGUCUUCAGUUUUGUCCUGUAAACAGUCGAUGUAAAAAUUCCUCCACUAAUUAUACAAUUUAAUGUCAAAAGGAAUCAAGUUUCAUCAUACGGUGAGACUACACCAACUUGUAAUCACUAUCUAUAAUUAUAUAUUGUCUCACUUCCCCAUUUCCUACAAUGAAGCAAUAUUUAAAUACUGAACUUCUCAUAGACUGAGUAGAGGUUAACUAGUAAAGAAUUGGCGAACAAUAAUUAACUCAAGGGGGNNN
This 762-nucleotide long non-coding RNA is filed under the name Panax ginseng (ginseng). Its description in RNAcentral is "long non-coding RNA (PGIN_LNC017334)". The record is from RNAcentral. Lineage: Eukaryota; Viridiplantae; Streptophyta; Magnoliopsida; Apiales; Araliaceae.